This 65-nucleotide transfer RNA is filed under the name Myotis lucifugus (little brown bat). It matches the Rfam family "tRNA". From Rfam's summary of the family: Transfer RNA (tRNA) molecules are approximately 80 nucleotides in length. Their secondary structure includes four short double-helical elements and three loops (D, anti-codon, and T loops). The record is from Rfam by way of RNAcentral. Lineage: Eukaryota; Metazoa; Chordata; Mammalia; Chiroptera; Vespertilionidae.
GCCAUUGUAGCUCAGUUGGUUAGAGCGUUGGCCAUGGGAGGUGGGUUUGAUUCCCAGCCAAGGCA